This 394-nucleotide ribosomal RNA is filed under the name uncultured bacterium. RNAcentral describes it as "bacterial SSU rRNA". It matches the Rfam family "Bacterial small subunit ribosomal RNA", at positions 505 to 898 of the family's 1533-position model. The record is from RNAcentral.
GUGUCAGCAGCCGCGGUAAUACGAAGGGGGCUAGCGUUGUUCGGAAUUACUGGGCGUAAAGGGCGUGUAGGCGGCUUGCAAAGUCGGGCGUGAAAGCCCCGGGCUCAACCCGGGAAUUGCGUUCGAUACUGGCGAGCUAGAGUUCGGGAGAGGGUCGUGGAAUUCCCAGUGUAGAGGUGAAAUUCGUAGAUAUUGGGAAGAACACCAGUGGCGAAGGCGGCGACCUGGACCGAUACUGACGCUAAGGCGCGAAAGCGUGGGGAGCAAACAGGAUUAGAUACCCUGGUAGUCCACGCUGUAAACGAUGAGUGCUAGACGUUGGGGGACCUAGUUUCCCAGUGUCGCAGCUAACGCAUUAAGCACUCCGCCUGGGGAGUACGGCCGCAAGGUUAAA